RNAcentral lists this ribosomal RNA (509 nucleotides) under uncultured bacterium. RNAcentral's name for it is "bacterial SSU rRNA". It matches the Rfam family "Bacterial small subunit ribosomal RNA", at positions 1 to 518 of the family's 1533-position model. The record is from RNAcentral.
AGAAUUGAUCUGGUCAGGAUGAACGCUAGCGACAGGCCUAACACAUGCAAGUCGAGGGGCAGCACAAGGAGCAAUCUGAGGUGGCGACCGGCGCACGGGUGAGUAACACGUAUGCAACCUGCCUGUAAGCGGGGAAUAACCCGUUGAAAGACGGACUAAUACCGCAUAAUACUAAAUUACUGCAUGGUAAUUUAUUUAAACAUUUAUGGCUUACAGAUGGGCAUGCGCAUGAUUAGCUAGUUGGAGAGGUAACGGCUCCCCAAGGCAACGAUCAUUAGGGUUCUGAGAGGAAGGUCCCCCACACUGGUACUGAGACACGGACCAGACUCCUACGGGAGGCAGCAGUGAGGAAUAUUGGUCAAUGGACGAGAGUCUGAACCAGCCAAGUCGCGUGCAGGAAGAAUGUCCUAUGGAUUGUAAACUUCUUUGAAGGGAAUAAAGUACGGUACGUGUACCGUUUUGUAUGUACCCUUCGAAUAAGGAUCGGCUAACUCCGUGCCAGCAGCAGC